CUCCUUCCAUAGGCCAAAGAUUUGGAUUUCGGCCGGAAUUUUACAAUUUCGUCCGAAAUUCGUCCAUACCGGUUAGGCCCGGUAUAAAAAGUAUCCGGUUAAAUAUUUCGGCCUGGUUUAAACCUUCAGCCCAGCCAAGGUCCAAAAUAGCCCACGUAUACCUGCCUGUGGUAUAAAAACCCCAACGAAAGCAGCGCAAACCCUAAAUUUCAUUUUUCCUCUAUCCACUCCUGUGUGGCGGCUGCAGGGAACGAAACCCGAAGGUGGCGAGACAGCGGCCGCCCCGCCUCCGCGCAGCCUCCUCCUCCCUCACCACUCCACUCCCUCAAGCACUCCUCCUCGUUCUUCUUGUUUCAAUGGAGGUCAUGCCCUGGGCUGCGCCCUUGGACGCGGCGACCCAGUCGACGGCGGCAACAACGUGGACCGCUGCCAUCUGAAUGUAUGAGCUCGAGUCUAUGGUACUCCAUCGUAUAUGGUGGGUGCUAGCUAGCUGUGAAUGAGUAGGCACCAAACAACACGUUAGCUGUGAGCAGUAGUAUUGCCCGCAUGCUAAUAUAUGAAGGGUCGUUCAGGGUUAAAGUUUGUUCUGCUUAAUUUACAAGAUUUUCUUUAAAUUUCGGUCAUUUUUCGUUGAAUUUUCGGCCAAUUUUCGUUCUAGAUUUCAAAGUAUGAUUUGUGCUUUUCGUCCGAAAUUUUCCGAAAAAAAAACCGAAAUCCCGAAUUUCGGCCAUUUCGCCCAGGAGCGGUAAAAAACUAAAAACGAAAUCCAAAAUCUUGCCAUAGGCCAACACUCUCUCGGAGUUUGUUGGAGGCGUCCGCAGUAGUAGCUAGCAGUUCUUUCUCUUUCUGGAUCUCUUCGAGUAGGAUACGCUGCCUACUCCGGGCGGCCUCCAAGCUACCCUCAUGAGAUCCCACCCUUGCGAUAAGAUCAGCAUUGGCCGCUGAGGCGACCUCAAGUUCCUUGGCUUUGCCGUCAAACUCCCCCCGUAGGUCCGACAAGGCAUGCGUCCCCUUCUGGAUAUCGUCACGCAACUUUGAGAUUUCCUAAUUGGAGGCGGCAAGGUUCAGCUCCAGCUAUUGUACCUUGCCGAAUAUUCGUACCUUGCCCUCCAGCUCGACCUUGGCGGAUUGAGCAGUUGCGGCAGCUUUAGCAUCCUGUUUUGGCCUCCUAGUGUGUUGCAUUGCUUGUUCUUCAAGGGCACCUUUAUGCUCCAACUCCAAUUCCCGGAUCCGGUUCUCAAUCCUAGCCUUGAGUUCCCCUCCCGGGCGGCAAGCUCCUCGUCAUGAGCAUCGAGCUCGAUCUGUUGCACGACCUACUCUGCCUCGGUCUAGGCAAGGAGGUCCUUUCCCUACCUCACGAUUUUCUCCGCCAUGGCCUUCCAAUGUAUGAAUGCAACGCUAUCCUUGGCAAGGUCCUAUCAGUCUUUGGUGAGCUCCUUGUGCUUCUCGACAAACCAGGCCUAUGAUUCGGCGAGGCGCUCGUGGAAGUCAUUCUCUGUCCCGACAAGGAUGAAUUUCUUGCGAUCUAGCAUCUUCGACAGACCUACAUAAUACGCUUGCACUCGCCUGAAUACCCCAGUCGUGGAGGACAGGAUGGCGUGCUCCCUGGCCUCGUUAGUCCCGUCGAAGGGAUCGACUAUCACCUCCUUUUCGGCUGUGGCAAUGGAGUCGUCAACAACUUCUUCUUCGGAGAAGGCCUUAGAGAUCGUACUUCCAAUGGGGCUAACGAAUUCCAGGUCCUCCACCUUGAGGUAUCGGCUUUAGGGUGGAGUUGGUGCUGUUGAUGGACUGUCGGUAGCCUUGCUGGCAUGGGAAAACGUGACGAACAUGCCUCCACUGACUGCGCUGGGGCAGAGGUGCUCUUGGAGUCCAACGACACUUCGACAGACGCCCCCUCCCCCGCGGCGAUCCGGCUAGCCUUGUCGGCUGCCGACUUGGCGAUCUCCUCCAUGCUGGCAUCUACGUCCGUGCCUUUAGGGGGAGGCAGAUCUUCAACACCAAGAUAACUGAACUCAGGGAAGUUCAAUAAGACAAGAGAAUAUAAAAUCAAAUACUCCGGCAAUCAAAAGCUUACACAUUGGAUCCUGUUGAGGAGGGGCAUCGCCUCCUCUAGCAACAUCCGUUGUCGUCGCACGGCCAUUGCCGGCAUUGCCUACCGGUGCGCCCUCUGUGUGGGCGGGCCCAUCAGUGGUAACCCUGUCAGAGAGCUCCUUUCCGGGGUCGAGUGUUCUUGGGAUACCUCUUGAUGCUUCAACUCCAUGUGGAUUGGGAUGGAGGUGUCGUAGUCGAUGUGCACACCUACAUUUGCCGUUGGGCACAGAGGCGUGGCCUCACGCCGGCAGCUGGCCAACGGAGUAAGGUCUAUGACCUCCCGCCCUGGCACAGAGCUUGUUUCCUCCCUCGUGGUGGACUCGGGUCUUGACUUCUUCUCUAUCCUCUACGGCAAGAUCUCCACGUCCCUGAAGCAAUUGUAAUAGUGACAAAAUUCAGAGAAGGAUCAACAAAAAUAAAGCUAGGAUUGGUUACUUGUGAUCAGAGAAGUUACUUGUGAUCUUCCACCCCGAGCUAAAGGAGGACAAGUUCGACAUCCCUUCACGCGCGGGGGAGGAGGGGGGAUGGUUGCGGAGUAGGCGCCCUGGAACACCCGCGGGCUCUGCGAGAGCACUUUUUUGGCACGUGGCGGCAGUCAGCCUCAUUUGUCGGGGUCGGGCAACAUUGGUGGCAAGGUCCCACUCCUCCCUCUCAUCCUUGACUCCCAGGGAAGAGCACAGUGGACCGGCUCCCAUGUAUCGGCCUUGCGGAGCACACGCGUUUUCUUGGAGGCGCCAUGAACUGGGUGCUCCGCAAACUCUGGCUACUCCGUGACCUCGACGUUUGCAGCCCUGACGCCCUCGGUGCCGGCGAGUACCUCCUGUCUGCACUAUGCAGACGGCUACUCACCAUGCCCCUCCUCAUGGUAGCCCUCCUCAUCCUUCUCCUCUUCAUCAACAAUGAAAGCCCUCAAACUACUACCGCCCACGUCAAGACCCACAUCUAUGGCCCGUCGGUCGAUGAACACGAGCUCCACCUCAGUGGUGGCACGGAUCAUUGACCCUUCGUCCCUGAUGCGCGCCUUCGUCAGGUUGUCGAACCACGCCUGCACCAUCUCGUUUGCUACGGCCCGCCACAUGGGAUCUAACCCAUGUGCAUUGCACACGGGCAUCAUCGCAACUAUCGCAUCCUUGCGGGAGUUAUUGCAGAGAAGGAUGGCGGACGGUAGAAGAAUAAACCCGCCAUCUGAGUGAAAGAGCUAGUGGUGGAGGGAAGCCAACUGUAAGAAGGUUAGGUCUCCAUCGAGCCUGGGGUGUACCCACAUGAUGUUGGCAGGACCAACAUACUACCAGGAGUAGCGCCCCCUAUCUUAAGGGGGGGAAUGCGCAUGGUAAGGAAAUCAAAACCCACCAUUUCUAUGGUGAGCCCGACAACCCUCAACUGGAGCAUUCGGGCAAUGUCGAUCUCUAACUUUGCAUCAUCUGGGGCAAGAGCGCUCCAAACUUCCUUCCGGACGGGCUUGGACGUAUAGACCGCACUAAAUGAUGGAGGCUCCUUGUCGGAGUUACAUCACCAAUUCGCCUGCCAUUCUUCCCAUCUCUGAUGUACGUAGCCGGGGGGAUACACCUCCACUAAUGGAAUUCAAUAAUUUGCCAUCAGCCAGUUCUUUGCCGUAUGCUGGCUGAUGGCAAAGAACCUCUGUGCCGUCAGCUUUAAGAAAAUAGAUGGUAAAGAUCUGGCUGAUGGCAAAGAGCCUGUUUGCCAUCAGCCGCCUCUAUGCCGUCUGCCAACCGACAGCAGAGAAGCUGAAGACAGACGACAAAGAUCUGUAUGUUGGCUAAAAAUAUAUUGGCCAUCAGCAAGUUCUUUGCCGUCUGCCAACAGACGGCACAGAAGCUGAAGGCAGACGGCAAAGGAUCAGACUUAACGAUCGAAGACCACCCCACCCCACCCCAUCGCUUUGCCAUGUGCCUCACAAACUUUGCCUCCGCUACAGACGGGAAAGGGGACGGACCCCUAACGGUCAUCAGCCCCACCUGCUCCCUCACUCUCUCUCCCACUCUCUCUUCACUCUCUCCACCCCACGCCCACCGACCUCUCUCUCUCGCCCCUGCCCACCGUAGCGCCGCCGCCACACCAACGAAGCCGCUCCAACCCCCCACACUGCCCCGACCCACCCCAGCACCGCCGUCGCACUGCCGGAGCCAACACCCACUCCAACCCUCGCCGGACAUCCUUCCUACGCCGCUCCCCCCACUCCACCCCUCGCUGGCCCUCUCCUCCCUGCGCCACUCCCCCACCCCACCCCACUCCACCCCUCGCCGGCACUCCUCCCUACGCCGCUCCCCCACUCCACCCCUCGCUGGCCCUCCCUCCCUGCGCCGCUCCCCAGCCGACCCACCCCACCCCACCCUACCCCUCCGUUCCCACACCGGUGCCCCUGCCAUGCUGGUGCCCUUGCCAUGCGAGGCACCUCCAUCGCCCCAGUGCCCCUGCAGCCCCCCGGUGCCACUGUCGCCCCGUCGGUGAGUACCACCGUGCCCCCUUUUCCUUUUUUUAUGUUUUUUUAUUUUGGUUAAUUUAGUUAGUUUAUAAUUAGGUUAGUUUUAUUUUUUAUUAGGUUAGUUUAUUAGUUUAUUAAGUUAGUUUAUUAGGUCAAUUAGGUUACUUAGUUAGGUUAGAAGAAAAAAAAGAAGAAGGAAAAAAAUGAAAAAGAAAAAAGGAGAAGAAGAAAAGAAUUAGAAGAAGAAGAAGGAAAAGAUGAAGGAGAAGAAGAAAAAGAAGAAGAAGAAGAAGAAGAACAGGAGGAGGAGGAGACAGAAGAAGAAGAAGAAGANNNNNNNNNNNNNNNAGAAGAAGAAGAAGAAGACGAAGAAGAAGAGAAGAAGAGGAAGAAGACGAAGAAGAAGAAGAAAAGGAAGAAAUGGAAGAAGAAGAAAAGGAAGAAGAGGAAACAAAGAAGAGGAAGAAGAAUAAAAUGACAGCAUGACACCCUGACACGAUGGCCCGACACCCCGACACGACGCCCUGACACCCCGACACGAAACUCCGCGCAACUGUUAAUUCGCCGCCCCCGACGCCACUAACCCCCAACCCCCGACCCUCGACACCUCUUCGGCCUCUUGUUGACCGAAAAGGUGAUCUUCGUCCUUCCAGAUGCCGACUGCCACAGACCUCACUAGAAGAAUUCUCGUAGAAGAGAGGAGAGGUAGAGAAGAGAGGUCUCCAGAACCAGAAGAGUUGGCGUGCUGACCCUUCGACCAUGCGUCACCAUACAUGAGGGUGUCGGGGACGAGCUAGUUAGGGGAUUCCUCGAUGUCGAUGCAUCCCUAGAUGACAUCUAUAUAGGUCAUAUAUUUGUGUAAGGUCAUAUAUUUUUCGAUUUUAUUAAUGAACACAAAAUAUUUGUGUUGAUCGGGUGGAUUUACAUGUGACAGUUGUGUCGUCGCUAUGAGGUCUGCUAUGCGAAGACCUCCCCGUGCAUUCUACGAGCUCCGCCCUUGCAUUCAUGGGUGAGUACAAAUGGCAUCUCCUCCUCUCCCCUUCAUUUGUUGUGGGUUUUUCUUCGGAUGAAACUUGCUAGGUAUAGGUAAUUAAAUUAAUUUAUCAGUAUGCGUUACCAGUAUACGUCUUCGGUUUGAAAGGGUUAUAGUUAUAAAUAUGCAUGCAUUUGCAUAUAUUAAUAACCGUGAUUCUUCAGAAUUUUCCAACGUUAUCCAUGGCAGCCCGAGUAUGUGUAGAUUGCGUUCGAUUUCCCAUAUGCAUUGUUCCGGAUCCGAUGCAUAAUUUCGUCAGUGCCUCCCUGUUGUUCUCCGGAUACACAUUCUCUCUGUUUAUUGCAGAGACUUGUAUCAGGACAACAGCGGGGAGGUGCUACCGAUAUUUUUCAUUGGAUCCGGAGAAGAGCAUGGGAAAACGAACCCAAUCUACACAUACUCGGGUGCGAUGAGGACCUAUCUUUACCUAUUAGCAUGUAGGUUAAAUGGACGUAAUAAAACUGGCGAACUUGAUUAACUGAUGAAUAUAUAUGCUGAAUUAGAUAUAAAUAUAUUUCUUAUGUGUUUAGUAGCUAGGCAAGAUGAGUUGUGACAUCCCCCGAAUAAGCUACAAUAAUCAAUGUAGUUAGGCUACAUUAACCUCAUCCUAAUGUGCCACAUCAUCAAUAUUAACUAACCCAAGUUUCAACUCGAUGAAAAACAAAGCCAAAUUAAAAUUAAAAUAAAUAAAUAAAUUCUUGAAACAUAAAAAACAAAAUAUUCCUCACAUUAUAAAUAAUCCACAUAUGAUUGUGGUGGAGAAACCAACAUUUUUAGAAAUAAAGUAGUAGCCAAAUUAAUAACGUAAGUGCCUUUAAUAUUAUUAUAAGUUUCAACCCACUUUAUUAAAUCCCAAACUUUUUGUGGCUCUCUCUAAUAUUACAAUAAUAUUACUCGGCGGGCUUCUAUAUUCUAAUAAAAUGAAUUUCUAUUCGCAAUAAAACUAAAACGGAAAUUGAAAACAAAAAGAAAAAAACAAACCCCGCACUCGGCCAAAAUGGCCCAGCGAGCCCACCCCGUCGCCCCACCACUAGACCACCUAAUUUGGGAGUAUUUAACCCCUCCUUUUUUUUACCCCAAACCCUAGCACUCGAUCCCCACUAGCUCCACCCCGCCGCCAUAGAAGCCCCAGCGACGAGGGGUUGGCUCCCCUCGUCCCCCACCCCGUCGCUCACUCACCCAACCCCCUCGCUACCUCCUCCCCUCGCGUGAGCCAACGCUCGCCCAGCCCCCCUCGCGAGCGCUCUCUCUCCCUCCCUCGUUCCUGUCCCGUCGCUCCUCCCCCUACGACCACGCCGGCCCUCCCCAUACCAUCACGCUGUUGGGGAACGUCGCAUGGGAACAAAAAUUUUCCUACGCGUACGAAGACCUAUCAUGGUGAUGUCCAUCUACGAGAGGGGAUGAAUGAUCUACGUACCCUUGUAGAUCGUACAGCAGAAGCGUUAGAGAACGCGGUUGAUGUAGUGGAACGUCCUCACGUCCCUCGAUCCGCCCCGCAAACAAUCCCGUGAUCAGUCCCACGAUCUAGUACCGAACGGACGGCACCUCCGCGUUCAGCACACGUACAGCUCGACGAUGAUCUCGGCCUUCUUGAUCCAGCAAGAGAGACGGAGAGGUAGAAGAGUUCUCCGGCAGCGUGACGGCGCUCCGGAGGUUGGUGAUGACCUUGUCUCAGCAGGGCUCCGCCCGAGCUCCGCAGAAACACGAUCUAGAGGAAAAACCGUGGAGGUAUGUGGUCGGGCUGCCGUGGAAAAGUCGUCUCAAAUCAGCCCUAAAACCUCCGUAUAUAUAGGUGGGAGGGAGGGGGCCUUGCCUUGGGGCUCAAGGAGCCCCAAGGGGGUCGGCCGAGUCCAAGGGGGAGGACUCUCCCCCCCCAAACCGAGUUGGACUAGGUUUGGUGGGAGGGAGUCCCCCUUCCUUCCCACCUCCUCCUUUUUUUUUCUCUCUUGAUUUUCUUCUCCUUGGCGCAUAGGGCACUUGUGGGCUGUCCCACCAGCCCACUAAGGGCUGGUGNGUGAUCUCAUCCGGGACUCCAAACAACAUUCGGUAACCAACCAUAUAACUCAUAUACGCAUAAAACAACGUCGAACCUUAAGUGUGCAGACCCUGCGGAUUCGAGAACUAUGUAGACAUGACCCGAGAGACUCCUCGGUCAAUAUCCAAUAGCGGGACCUGGAUGCCCAUAUUGGAUCCUACAUAUUCUACGAAGAUCUUAUCGUUUGAACCUCAGUGGCAAGGAUUCGUAUAAUCCCGUAUGUUAUUCCCUUUGUCCUUCGGUAUGUUACUUGCCCGAGAUUCGGUCGUCAGUAUCCGCAUACCUAUUUCAAUCUCGUUUACCGGCAAGUCUCUUUACUCGUUCCGUAAUACANNNNNNNNNNNNNNNNNNNNNNNNNNNNNNNNNNNNNNNNNNNNNNNNNNNNNNNNNNNNNNNNNNNNNNNNNNNNNNNNNNNNNNNNNNNNNNNNNNNNNNNNNNNNNNNNNNNNNNNNNNNNNNNNNNNNNNNNNNNNNNNNNNNNNNNNNNNNNNNNNNNNNNNNNNNNNNNNNNNNNNNNNNNNNNNNNNNNNNNNNNNNNNNNNNNNNNNNNNNNNNNNNNNNNNNNNNNNNNNNNNNNNNNNNNNNNNNNNNNNNNNNNNNNNNNNNNNNNNNNNNNNNNNNNNNNNNNNNNNNNNNNNNNNNNNNNNNNNNNNNNNNNNNNNNNNNNNNNNNNNAGAUACCUCUCCGUCACAUGGAGUGACAAAUCCCAGUCUUGAUCCAUACUAACUCAACUAAGACCUUUGGAGAUACCUGUAGAGCAUCUUUAUAGUCACCUAGUUACGUUGCGACGUUUGAUACACACAAAGCAUUCCUCCGGUGUCAGUGAGUUAUAUGAUCUCAUGGUCAUAGGAAUAAAUACUUGACACGCAGAAAACAGUAGCAACAAAAUGACACGAUCAACAUGCUACGUCUAUUAGUUUGGGUCUAGUCCAUCACGUGAUUCUCCCAAUGACGUGAUCCAGUUAUCAAGUAACAACACCUUGUUCAUAAUCAGAAGACACUGACUAUCAUUGAUCAACUGGCUAGCCAACUAAAGGCAUGCUAGGGACGGUGUUUUGUCUAUGUAUCCACACAUGUAAAUGAGUCUUCAUUCAAUACAAUUAUAGCAUGGAUAAUAAACUAUUGUCUUGAUACAUGAAUUAUAAUAAUAACUAUAUUUAUUAUUGCCUCUAGGACAUAAUUCCAACACGCGCCGCCACCGGCCCUCCGGCUGUUCUCCUUUGGGCACCUCGCCCCUCCUCCGACGGUGGAGCUCGCCUCCGUCGCGUCGGGCCGCCGCACCGCCGCCGGCCGCCUCCGCCACGCACCACCUGCGCCACCGCCUCCGACCGAGGCCACUCCGCCUCCCCCUCCUCCUUUGUCCUCCUUCAGCUCCGACCGUGGUCGAACCCGUCGCCAGGCCCUCUCCGUUCACCACCACCAGAGCUCCCCUGUCGGCUCCUCCUUCGAUCCGCCCCGACCACCUCCAUGAUCCCCUCCUCCUCCGGCCGCCUCCGUCACCGGAACACCACCACCGGGACCAUGCGCCUCCUCCCCUCCCCGGGAACUCCGGCUACACCGGGCCUUCCCUUCAACGCUGGUGAGCCCUCCCUCGGGCUCCUCCCACCCCCUUCCUUCUUUCCCCCCUGCGGUUCCGUUCCGACACCCCGCACCGGGGCCUCCGGCGAUCUCCAUCGUGCACCUUCGGGCCCUUCCCAUUGGUCGAGGAGGAGUAGCCUCCUGUGAACUGUUAGGAGAAAGAACAAAAAAUAAAAUGAAAUAAAAUAAAAACAAACAGUGUAUGUAUGCAAGUUUUAUGUAUGUAUGUAUGUAAAAUUUUAUGUAUGUAUGUAUGUAUUUGAGUAUGUAUGCAUGUAUGUAGAAAGAGGUAAAUAUGUAUAUAUAUGUGUGUGUGUGUGUGGUGAGGCCGAUGGGCCAACCCCCUCCCCCCGACUCUCACUAACACGGAGGCCCCACACAACCCUCUGUUAAAAAUAAUAAUUAAUAAUAAUGUAAAAAUAAUACUGAAUGAAUAUUUUAAUAAAUUAAACAAUUAAUAUUUAAUGAAUGAAUUAACUAGGUAAUUAUAAUGAUUAUGAGUAAUUAGAAUAAUUAAGUAAAUCUGUUAAUAUAGAUAAGUAUUUAUCCUAACAGAAUAUGACACGUGGGUCCCCCGCUAAAUUAAUCUGAUUAAGUAAUAAUUAACCCUAAUUAAAAAAUGUGUCUAUGACACCUCGGACCCACUGGUUAGUUUGACCAGUCAACUGCUGAUGUCACCAUGACAUCAUGCUAAUGUCAUAAUAGCAUUUAAUUGAGUUAACUAAAUCUGUUUUUUGAUUCCUAAAUAUUAGUGAAACUUUGAAAAUUAAUAUAAAAUAAACUGUAGCUCAGAUGAAAAUAUUUUCAACAUAAAAGUUGAUCAAUAGAACGAGACAAACCCAGAUACACGGUCCAAUCUGUGUCACGCGUCCCUAGCAUAGCAAACGUGGAACUUUUCCACCAUUUUUUGUCCGACCGGUAGUAGCCAGAGAUCCGGGAAAUAUCAUCAAAUAUUUUCUCGACCCGUCUCUGACGAAAGUUACUGCGUUAGCUCAUGCCUAGCCUGCAUAUUGCCAUGUCAUGCUGAGUGUUGAACCGGUAGAGCCCGAGACUGACGUUGUUGCCGGAUACAUCUACCCUCCUGUCGACCAGCCCAUUACCGCAGAGCAACAAGGCAAGCAAACCACCUUGAUCAUUCCUAUAUGGCCUAUUCUUUCUCCCUCAUGCUUGCAUUAGAAUUUUUCUACUCUUGUAGUUAGGUCCUAUAUCUAAUGCAUAGCCUGUUUUUGAUGAACUGCUACUUUCAGUACCGGCACUUUAAAACUGCUUAGUAUAGGUGGAGCAGUCAUCCCGUUUGACCCCUUAGUCCAGUUGCCCUGCUUUGUCAUCAAGUGUCGAUCCCUGACUGACGAGCCAGAUCCAACACAACACUUACACCCCCCUUAGUUGUGCAACGCUACAGAGCUACUAUCGGGUAUCGAGGAUGACACCUCGCGAAGUACUCAUGAUGAUAUCUCUGUAGUACAGCAAGUCGGUCAUGGUUAUCAAGGGUGAUUCCUCCUUCACCACUCUCGAUGAUGACUCUAUCGUGCAACCCCUAAAGUGUGACCCCCGAGGGUGAUUCCUCUAAGUCCACCUUGACGGUUACUUCAUUCAGAAUCCAUCGAGGGUGAUACCUCGGAUCCUCCCCGAUGUUACAACCACACAGUUACCAGACCAUGUUACUGGGAUCUUUGAUGAAUAAAUGUUAGGCGGGUGGAUUCCCACGUGGAUGUGUUGAUGGCUUAAUUAAAAUGAUAAUGGCUAUGGGUAUUAAUCUGGGUUGGUCGGAAGGCCUUAUUACACACUAACCGUCUCCGUGGGAAGAAUUAUGGGUACUCAGCAUCGUGGUAUCAGCCGAAGCUUUUCAGACGUCGGCAAUGGACCGGCGCGCACCCGAGUGGUCCCGAGAUGCAUCACGCUCGUAGUAAGGGGUACUAAGACUGACAUCGGCUGCCCAGGCAUCAUGCAGGAGCGUAGAGGGCAAGUGGGCCCACGACCCCUUUUCGCUUCGGAGUUAGACCGGCGAGCUGGCCUCUGUGUUGAGCUUUGGUGGGGCUGCGACGUGUCGAUAUUCCGAGGCCGGGCAUGACCCAGAAAAGUGUGUCCGGCCAGAGUGUUAUCGAGCCUGACGGGGAAUAUGUUGUGCCCCCCCACAGGGAAGAACUUGUCUAUUCGAAUAGCCGUGUGCACGGUUACAGGACGACUUGGAGUUAUGCCCUGACCUUAUAGAACUACAACUGUUACAUAACUGGAAUUAGUUGCCCCGAGAUUGCUUCCUCGUAGGGAGUCGAGGGAGGAUCUCUGGGCGUGACCUUUUAUUAAUAUUGCUGCAACAAUAUGACUAUUAGUUGUGUUACCUCUUCUACUUGUCUAUUGCUGCAAGACCCCUGAAGAUGCUAGUCUUCGAUAGGACUAGGCCUUCUCUCUCUAAUCUUGCAUUGCUACAGUCAGUCCACGUAAAUACCUUCUUUGAUAUUGUUGCAUACUUAGCAUAGUUCUGAUAUAAGUCUUGCGAGUACUUUGGAUGAGUACUCACCGUUGCUUUGCUCCCCUUUGUCCCCUUUGUUCGUUGCUGCGACCAAAUGUUGGAGCCAGGAGAUGGAGUAUCCUACCGAUGAUGUCAGCCACCCCGAUGGUGACUUCUUCGUGGAGACCGCUGAAGAUCGGGAGUAGUUUAGGAGGUUCCCAGGCAGUAGGCCUCACCUCGUUCGAUCAUUGUAUCAUUUGUGCUAGCCUUCUCUAAGGCACCUCAUGUUUAAUGUAUGUACUAAGAUAUUUGUUGCUUCCGCUGACUGGUGUGUUUAUCGAGCUUACGUAUUCUAGCCCUCGAGGCCC
This 11997-nucleotide long non-coding RNA is filed under the name Hordeum vulgare. RNAcentral describes it as "long non-coding RNA (HVUL_LNC007279)". Lineage: Eukaryota; Viridiplantae; Streptophyta; Magnoliopsida; Poales; Poaceae. The record is from RNAcentral.